Molecule: long non-coding RNA, 1116 nt
Filed under: Carassius auratus (goldfish)
Lineage: Eukaryota; Metazoa; Chordata; Actinopteri; Cypriniformes; Cyprinidae
Description: lncRNA (ENSCARG00000034302.1)
Source: RNAcentral
AUGAAGUCGUUUGAAAAACUGGUUCUGGCUUAUCUGAAGGACAUCACAGGACCAUUACUGGACCCCCUCCAGUUUGCUUACCGAGCAAACAGGUCCGUGGAUGAUGCAAUCAACAUGGGAUUGCACUUCAUCCUGCAUAAUCUGGACAUAACAGGGACUUAUGUGAGGAUCCUAUUUGUGGACUUUAGUUCAGCAUUCAACACCAUCAUCCCAACAGCCCUUCAGACCAAACUGACGCAGCUCUCUGUUCCUAGCUCUAUCUGUCAGUGGAUCACCAGCUUUCUGACAGAUAGGCAACAGUUAGUGAGACUGGGGAAAUUCACAUCAAACAGCUGCUCCACCAACACUGGUGCUCCUCAGGGAUGUGUUCUCUCCCCUCUGCUCUUCUCCCUGUACACCAACGACUGCACCUCUAAAGACCCCUCUGUCAAGCUCCUGAAGUUUGCAGACGACACUACAGUCAUCGGCCUCAUCCAGGACGGUGAUGAAUCUGCUUACAGACAAGAGGUUGAGCAGCUGGCUGUCUGGUGCAGUCUUAACAACCUGGAGCUGAACACGCUCAAAACAGUGGAGAUGAUCGUGGACUUUAGGAGAAACCCCCCUGCACUUUCCCCACUCACCAUCAUGAACAGCACUUUGACUGCAGUGGAGUCAUUCAGAUUCCUGGGAACCAUCAUCUCUCAGGACCUGAAGUGGGACAAUCACAUUGACUCCAUUGUUAAAAAGGCCCAGCAAAGGUUGUAUUUCCUUCGCCAGCUGAGGAAGUUUAACCUGCCACAGGAGCUGCUAAAACAGUUCUACUCGGCCGUCAUUGAGUCUGUCCUCUGUACUUCAAUAACUGUCUGGUUUGGUUCAGCAACAAAAUCAGACAUCAGAAGACUACAGAGAACUGUUCGGACUGCUGAAAGGAUUAUUGGUGCUCCCCUGCCCACCCUUCAAGCACUGUAUACAUCCAGAGUGAGGAAAAGGGCUCAGAAAAUCUCUGGACUCUGGAUCCCUCACAUCCAAGUCACCCCAUUUUUGAACUUUUGCCAUCUGGCCGGCGCCUCAGAGCCGCAAACACCAGAACAGCAAGGCACAAGAACAGUUUCUUCCCCCAGGCAAUCUACCUCAUGA